UACGAAUCGUCCAAACGUUGUUCGGAUUCACUGGGUUUAAAGGGCGCGUAGGCGGUGCGUUAAGUCGGCGGUGAAAUACUUCGGCUCAACCGGAGAAUUGCCGCUGAAACUGGCGUGCUCGAGGGAGGUAGAGGUGCGUGGAACUUCCGGUGGAGCGGUGAAAUGCGUUGAUAUCGGAAGGAACACCUGUGGCGAAAGCGGGUUGCUGGGCUGACACUGACGCUGAUGCGCGAAAGCGUGGGGAGCAAACAGG
This 253-nucleotide ribosomal RNA is filed under the name uncultured bacterium. RNAcentral describes it as "partial 16S ribosomal RNA". It matches the Rfam family "Bacterial small subunit ribosomal RNA", at positions 524 to 776 of the family's 1533-position model. The record is from RNAcentral.